UACGGGGGAUGCAAGCGUUAUCCGGAAUCAUUGGGCGUAAAGCGCCUGUAGGUUGUUUAAUAAGUCUGUUGUUAAAGGCUAGGGCUUAACCCUAGAAAUGCAAUGGAAACUACUAGACUUGAGUAUGGCAGGGGUAGAGGGAAUUUCUAGUGUAGCGGUGAAAUGCGUAGAUAUUAGAAAGAACACCGGUGGCGAAAGCGCUCUACUGGACCAUUACUGACACUCAGAGGCGAAAGCUAGGGUAGCAAAAGGGAUUAGAUACCCCUGUAGUCUUAGCCGUAAACGAUGGAUACUAGAUGUUGUGCUUUAAGUACAGUAUCGUAGCUAACGCGUUAAGUAUCCCGCCUGGGGAGUACGCUCGCAAGGGUG
Molecule: ribosomal RNA, 369 nt
Filed under: uncultured phototrophic eukaryote
Lineage: Eukaryota
Description: SSU rRNA
Rfam family: Bacterial small subunit ribosomal RNA
Source: RNAcentral